UCGGGUGUGUAAGCGCAGCGAUGCGUUGAGCUAACCGAUACUAAUGAACCGUGAGGCUUAACCUUACAACGCCGAAGC
RNAcentral lists this ribosomal RNA (78 nucleotides) under Enterobacter cloacae. RNAcentral's name for it is "partial 23S ribosomal RNA". RNAcentral also lists the same sequence under 5 other names. The record is from RNAcentral. Lineage: Bacteria; Pseudomonadati; Pseudomonadota; Gammaproteobacteria; Enterobacterales; Enterobacteriaceae.